GAAGCACACACGAGUGAUGCGAAAAUACUCCACAGCCAGAAAUGGGCCUGUCGCGCAUGCGCAAGGCGGAACAACUGUUAGCAAAUUCAAAUUACUCGCAGAGUUACAGUUAGUUAAUCGUCAGACACCGGACAGUUUAGUUAAUCGUCAGACACCGGACAUUUAGUUAAUCGUCAGACACCGGACAGUUUAGUUAAUCGUCAGACACCGCACAGUUCAGUCAAUCAUUAGACCCGGAGAAGUCAGUUAAUCGUCAGACACCGGACAGUUUAGUCAAUCGUCGGACCUCGGAAUAAUCGGUUAAUCGUCCAACCUCGGAGUAGUCUUUCAAUUAUUUCAAAAAAAAGACAACAUCUAAAUUAAAAUCACCGCAUUGGGAGCAGACGAUCAUCUAUUGCUGACAAUAGGCCAUAUUCCAGGACAGAUAAAGCUGAAGUCGACCCAACGAACCUCGACUACGAACGAAAUAG
Molecule: long non-coding RNA, 470 nt
Organism: Diachasmimorpha longicaudata
Lineage: Eukaryota; Metazoa; Arthropoda; Insecta; Hymenoptera; Braconidae
Exons: 3
Source: RefSeq, a predicted model, not a curated record